UACAACGGGAUAUAAAAUAUAUAAAACACCUAGGCAUAUUCUCACACUUCGACAAACCAGGCACUAUUGUCAGAAUCAACACACGAAACGUCACACACGAAACGUCAAGAUUGAAGUGAAAGAGAAUCCACGAACAGUACACUUGAACAAGUUAAAACUAACACAUAAUCGAAACAGACCACCAGAAUGAUUUCAUGAGGCAACAUAAUAGGUGUUAUAUGGAAUAACACUGCUUGUUGAAUACUGCAGAUAGUACCUAGUGCACGAUUAAUCAUCGUAGAAGAAAGUGUACAUGAAGGAAGUGAACUCCACAAGGAUAGGCUACAGAUUCAUUUUGUAAAACAUACGACGUUCAGCUGAAACAAAUGGAUAAGUUAAUCUCAAUUGCACUAAUAUUAAAUAUUUAUAACAACAUUAAAGUUGAAUUAAAAGAAACAAGGAUAACGGACAAUAAUUGAUCCCCGUCAACAACAUUUACAAGAUAACAGGAUUUACGGUUGACCAUUG
Long non-coding RNA from Bombus impatiens (common eastern bumble bee), 507 nucleotides. RefSeq lists it as uncharacterized. The record is from RefSeq and is a predicted model, not a curated record. The transcript has 2 exons. NCBI's taxonomy places the organism in Eukaryota, Metazoa, Arthropoda, Insecta, Hymenoptera, Apidae.